Molecule: ribosomal RNA, 431 nt
Filed under: uncultured bacterium
Lineage: Bacteria
Description: partial 16S ribosomal RNA
Rfam family: Bacterial small subunit ribosomal RNA
Source: RNAcentral
AACGAACGCUGGCGGCAGGCUUAACACAUGCAAGUCGAGCGCGCCUUCGGGUUCGCGGCGGACGGGUGAGUAACGCGUGGGAAUGUGCCCUUCUCUACGGAAUAGUCUGGGGAAACUGGGGGUAAUACCGUAUACGCCCUUUGGGGGUAAGAUUUAUCGGGGAAGGAUUAGCCCGCGUUGGAUUAGGUAGUUGGUGGGGUAAUGGCCUACCAAGCCGACGAUCCAUAGCUGUUUUGAGAGGAUGAUCAGCCACACUGGGACUGAGACACGGCCCAGACUCCUACGGGAGGCAGCAGUGGGGAAUCUUAGACAAUGGGGGCAACCCUGAUCUAGCCAUGCCGCGUGAGAGAUGAAGGCCUUAGGGUUGUAAAGCUCUUUCAGCUGGGAAGAUAAUGACGGUACCAGCAGAAGAAGCCCCGGCUAACUCCGUG